This 247-nucleotide non-coding RNA is filed under the name Clostridium cavendishii. RNAcentral describes it as "GlcN6P sequence". It matches the Rfam family "glmS glucosamine-6-phosphate activated ribozyme aptamer". Rfam says of the family: This entry contains a glucosamine-6-phosphate activated ribozyme that is found in the mRNA for GlmS. GlmS is an enzyme that uses fructose-6-phosphate and glutamine to generate glucosamine-6-phosphate. Lineage: Bacteria; Bacillati; Bacillota; Clostridia; Eubacteriales; Clostridiaceae. The record is from RNAcentral. RNAcentral also lists the same sequence under 1 other name.
AUUUAAUAUUAAGCGCCAGAACUAAAGUUGCUAUUAAAAUCAAGGUUUUAGGGUAAGAGCUAAAAUUAAUUUUUAGAAGUUCGCCUCAUAAAAUCUUGAUCUUAAUAUAGAUUAAUAACAAUUACUUUAGUUGACGAGGAUGGGGAGUAUCGAAAUUUUCGGCGGGUGCCCCACGGUAUCGCACUACCGUAAAACAUUGGCAAAACUAAAAAGUGAUUUUUAGAACAAAUCCAAUGCGGUGUUAAAA